AUAAGUAAAUACAUAAAUAAUUAGGAUUUUGUUCUUUUUACAUUUCUGUACGUAAUUCAAGUCUUCCUGGGGGUAAAAACUACUUACUCACUAAGGGAAUAAUUCAGUCAUUUCAAACCAUUUUUGAGGGUCUCUACUCAGCAGUUUGAUGUUGUGUAAUGAUUCAGGAUUCUUCUCUGUGACCCUGAUGGGCCAUUCCGAUUCCUAUUUAUAGAUGCUUAUCUCAAGACCUUCUGUGUGGGUAGUCUCAGAGCCCUUGGGACUGCCUUCGUCCACAACCUUGGGUUUGAGUCAUAUCACUACCGAAUUCUUCCCUCUGUUCAUGGAAAUCUGGUAACUACAUCAACGAGGUAUUUUCUACAGAACUGAUUGGGUUUUUUGUUUCUUUGCCUCAUAAGAUAUAAAAAUGUCUAAAGGCCCUGGAAUGUCACAGUAUUAAUAGCUGAUGUGUAUGGAAGGCCUACUAUGUACUGGGCAUAAUUCUAUGUGUUCUUCAUUUGUUAAUUCACUCAAUCCUUUUUUUUUCUUUUUUUUUUUUUUUGAGAUGGAGUCUCACUCUGUCGCCAGGCUGGAGUGCAGUGGCGCGAUUAUAUUCACCUAGAAGUUUGUGAACACUGUUCCUCUUUCAGUAAAAUCCAUGUUAUAGAUGCUGCUGGAUUUUAGGCAUCCAGAAAGGCCUGAGAUUGGCAGCUAUUUGUUGACAAUUCAAUGGGUAUAAAAGUUUCAGGCAGCAAAACUAAUGAAUGAUUUCCAACCACAGAAGCCGUCACUGGGAGAGCCAAUAAAGAUACGACAGAUCUGGCAGGAGAACAAGAUCCAGCCCAGGUGAUGGGGUGUGAGGCUUGGUCUUAGCUACAGGUAGGUCGUUUCCCUUAGCUCCUGGAUGACUCAGCUUGGCAGCCACCCAGACUUCUAUCAGGACCCAGAGGUGCUGCCAGCUCUGGAGCCAUGUCAGGCCAGCUUUCUCCCCAUGUCACCAGGGAAUGGAGAUUUUUCUGGUCUGCUGGGGCUUUUCCUAAUUCUGCACGGUCGGCUUGAGACUGUCCACCUGUUGCUCCAUCUAGGCUGCGUUGCCCUUAUGAGCCGUCUUCACAAGGAGACGCUGGUCUGAAAAGAAGGCAACGCAAGGAAGAGAACAGAGCCAAGGCACCUGCAGCGAGCCAGAGCCAGAGCCCUGACAUCACAAAUGCUUUAAUUGGUUCCAUUUAUUGUUUAAUCCACUUGAAAUUGAAUUUCUGUCAUCCCCGACUGGAAGUGUACUGACCUGCAUACUACCUGUGUUUCCUCACAGCAGGCUGAAAAGCUGUGCCAAUAUUGAGCUCAUCCAGAAUUAGACGAAGUUUGUAUUCUUUUUAUUACUUCCUUUAACCCUGAAUCAGGGUCCAGAAGCAUUUUGUUGACCAUUAACUCUUCUCUGUGAAUAAAGCAGCAUGAGGAACAACCUCUUUUAUUCACAGAGCAAAGCUCUUCGCUGCUCAGCCACAGCGGCUUCAACUCUGGCACGGGUCCUGAAGUGCCAUUUCUAGCACAUGACUCACAAAGUAAAUAAUCUGUAAAUGAAAAGCCUCUUAUCAUACUUUGGCACGAAAAACAAAGCGACAAGCCAGGCAGCAUUUUUCCCUCAUAUUUGAACCCCACAUGCACCAAGGGCUGUUUUAUGCCUUGCACAUGAGGAGUUUGGUUUGCUCAAAAGCAAAGUAUUGGCUAACAUGUGUGUGCACUAGUAAUUGCAUUUCUGCUUUGUGUGCUCUGUUAUCUGAUAGAGGAGCUUUGUCAAUAUCCUUUGGAUCUCUCUCCAAGCACAGUCUUCAUUAUGAUCUGUGAGCUGAUUUACGGUCUUCUUGGCAAUUUUACGACUGAUAUCUAGGUGCAUUUGCUAAGAGGACAGCAAUUUAGAAUGAUGUUUCUGUAGCUUUAGUCUCCUCCGCACCUUUAAUAAGAAGAAUAAUCAAUUUUACAUUAGAAAGUUAUUUUGUGCUUAUUCUGGAAAAAUGGAAUUGGUUGCUUUUUCUAAAGAUAAUGAGAAACACUUUUUAUGGCUCCAGACUACUAUAUAUCAGCAUUUUCAUUUUAACAGUAAUAUAUCGAGGACUAGGGGCAAAUGGAUUGCUUGUCCAAUAAAUGAAAUGUUCAAGUAUUCCUCACUGAACUUAGACUCACAAUUUUCAUUUAUGGUUGCAUGUGUAAAAUCACCACUCAAGAACUUGUUUGUCCUUGAAUAUAUAGUUUUGUAUUUCCAUAGUUAUAUUGCAGAACCAUUUACUCAUUAUGUUUACAGUGCCCUUCUGAGGAUUUAUGCUGCCAUUUUCAUCAUUACUUUGCAUUUUAUAGAACCUCUUUUUAGUCAUUGAUCCAUUUUGGUGAAUUGGAGAUACAGUGUGACAUAUCUACUACAAUAACCAUGAAAAUUAAAAAAUAACAGACAUAAACUAUAACUUGCAAGCGAGAAGCCCUAUGUGAAUAUGAUUUAUUAAUACUUUGUUUUAAGUCUCUUUCCCCUGGUUCUCACCUAUUGAAGCUUUUUGCUUUUCUGUCAGCCAAGAGGUGCCAGGUAGGUAAGGAGCAUACUGGGUAACUGUGUACUCCGUGCCCAGGCCUACUCAUGCCUCUGUGGGCUGGGCACUGAUGCAAACUUCUGCCAGGCAUGGCCCUCUUAAGUGGACAGGGGAUAGAAAAAUAACCUAGAAAUGAUGACAAAUGUGGCUUCUUUCCAAUGAUCACAUCUCUUCCCUUUUCCUUGGCUUACUUAUUGGUUCAGACCUUCACAAAGAAGUUGACCAAGUGCAGUGACAGGAUGAUGUGCUGGUCAUCAUCCUGUCGCUACACUGAAACAUCCCUUUCUCCCUUUUUGGGCCCAUGGUGGAGUCAGGCUUUCCCGCAUCAUUGAGGUUAGGUGUGAACACGUGAUUUGCUUUGGCCAAUGAAAUGGGAGUGAAAGUGACACAUCCCUGCCAGGUACAAGCUUUAACGGCCAGGGAACAACGUGCGUCAUCACUGCCUUGACCCUGUGGUCAAUGUUCCAGACAGGGGUCUGUGUCAGCCUGUGUCCCUUAGUGAGGACUGGGUAUAGACUGCCCCUCUCCACUUCAUGGAUAUUUAACUUAAGCAAGAAAAAGGCUUCAUGAACUUAGGCCACUGAGAUCAUGGAGGUUUGUUCCUGUAGCAUAACCCAGCCUCUUCUGUCCAAAACAAGUGGGUACACAAAUCCAAAAAGGACAGAAAUCCCUUUGCCCAGUUCCCUUCCUGAGAGCUGACACUGACUGGCACCCAGCCUCAGCCCCAAGCCCAGGGCCCUCGUUUAUAGACACUCAUCUGUGUCCAAGUUUUGUUCUUCUAGUUGCCAUUCUUCCAUUUUCUCUUUGCCAGUAACACACAAAAAAUGAGAGAUUUUCUCAGUAUUGGUAUGGAUUUUCAAUUAACAACAACAAAAACAACAAAA
Molecule: long non-coding RNA, 3439 nt
Organism: Homo sapiens (human)
Lineage: Eukaryota; Metazoa; Chordata; Mammalia; Primates; Hominidae
Exons: 3
Source: RefSeq, a predicted model, not a curated record